AUUGAACGCUGGCGGCAGGCCUAACACAUGCAAGUCGAACGAGUGGCGGACGGGUGAGUAAUGUCUGGGAAACUGCCCGAUGGAGGGGGAUAACUACUGGAAACGGUAGCUAAUACCGCAUACCAUCGGAUGUGCCCAGAUGGGAUUAGCUAGUAGGUGGGGUAAUGGCUCACCUCGGCGACGAUCCCUAGCUGGGCUGAGAGGAUGACCAGCCACACUGGAACUGAGCCACGGUCCAGAGUCGUACGGGAGGAAGCAGUGGGGAAUAUUGCACAAUGGGCGCAAGCCUGAUACAGCCAUGCCGCGUGUAUGAAGAAGGCCUUCGGGUUGUAAAGUACUUUCAGCGAGGAGGCGGUACUCGAAGAAGAAGCACCGGCUAACUCCGUGCCAGCAGCCGCGGUAAUAC
Molecule: ribosomal RNA, 406 nt
Filed under: uncultured bacterium
Lineage: Bacteria
Description: partial 16S ribosomal RNA
Rfam family: Bacterial small subunit ribosomal RNA
Source: RNAcentral